Molecule: ribosomal RNA, 233 nt
Filed under: uncultured bacterium
Lineage: Bacteria
Description: partial 16S ribosomal RNA
Rfam family: Bacterial small subunit ribosomal RNA
Source: RNAcentral
CGGGUGAGUAACGCGUGAGGAACCUGCCUCAAAGAGGGGGACAACAGUUGGAAACGACUGCUAAUACCGCAUAAGCCCACAGUGCCGCAUGGUACAGAGGGAAAAGGAGCAAUCCGCUUUGAGAUGGCCUCGCGUCCGAUUAGCUAGUUGGUGAGGUAACGGCCCACCAAGGCGACGAUCCAUAGCCGACCUGAGAGGGUGACCGGCCACAUUGGGACUGAGACACGGCCCAA